AUGAACAAGAUACAAGGCAGCAACUUUGCUCUGCUUUGUUUAAGAAUCAAGGUGCUGCCCGACACCAUGUAUAUAUCAAAUGCUUGUAUGAUAGCCAAGGAGACAACUAGUAGCCUGAGAAAAAGGACCAAAGGUUUAUACUUCAUUGAUGAACAAAAACCUUACAAUGACAAGUACAAGCCUAAUGAUGAAGCAUCUCACUCCAUGAUUCACAAGAAUUUCAAUUGA
Molecule: non-coding RNA, 228 nt
Organism: Vicia faba (fava bean)
Lineage: Eukaryota; Viridiplantae; Streptophyta; Magnoliopsida; Fabales; Fabaceae
Source: the annotation of a GenBank genome assembly